RNAcentral lists this long non-coding RNA (744 nucleotides) under Androctonus crassicauda. The record is from RNAcentral. Lineage: Eukaryota; Metazoa; Arthropoda; Arachnida; Scorpiones; Buthidae.
AAAAAUCAUUGACAAAGGAAUCAUACGUAUCCUUCUUUAGCAAAACAGGCAACUUGCUCUUGUCAUCCCGAGCACACACUACCUUGUUACUCUCCAACCACUUCUCAGCAUUUCGGAUCUUUGUUCGCAUGGAUCUCAAAUCUUUAUCAUUAAAGUUUUUAAUACUCGCAGCUAUUUGCCAUCUGAUCUCAUCUGCUUUCACUGGAUCACAUUCCUGCAACAUUGGUUCUAAUUGUACGGCUAUAUUCUGCCACGUAGGGAAGUUCUGCACUAAGGCAUUAGGACCCAAACUCAGUAUUUCAUCCACAAAACCUGGGACCACUAUGUCAUCGAGUACCACAUACGGUUUUUUCUCUGGAGCAGGUCUCCUCCGAACCUGUUUAUAAAGUAGCCAUUUAAGCUUCUUCACAUAAUUUCUGUUAACCUUGGAUUGAUUAAAAUAAAUAAACUGUGCCUGUGAUGGAAGAGCACUUUCCAACCUCUAUUUAUAAACUGACUUUACCGGUAAGAUCAAAAAAACUCUUAGUACUUACUAAAAAGCGUUGUUUAGCAUAUGCAAUUUCUGAUGCAAGAAGAGAACUGUUUAGAUUUAAGUCCCAGUUCCAACAAGGAGGUCUAUACGGGGUCAGUAUAGAGUAUCUUAAAAGUGCUCUUCCAUCACAGGCACAGUUUAUUUAUUUUAAUCAAUCCAAGGUUAACAGAAAUUAUGUGAAGAAACUUAAAUGGCUACUUCAUAAGCAGGUU